This 249-nucleotide ribosomal RNA is filed under the name uncultured bacterium. RNAcentral describes it as "partial 16S ribosomal RNA". It matches the Rfam family "Bacterial small subunit ribosomal RNA", at positions 334 to 597 of the family's 1533-position model. The record is from RNAcentral.
GUCUCCCUACGGGAGGCAGCAGUCGGGAAUAUUGCGCAAUGGAGGAAACUCUGACGCAGUGACGCCGCGUAUAGGAAGAAGGUUUUCGGAUUGUAAACUAUUGUCGUUAGGGAAGAAAAAAAGACAGUACCUAAGGAGGAAGCUCCGGCUAACUACGUGCCAGCAGCCGCGGUAAUACGUAGGGAGCGAGCGUUAUCCGGAUUUACUGGGUGUAAAGGGAGCGUAGACGGCAGUGCAAGUCUGAAGUGA